This 465-nucleotide ribosomal RNA is filed under the name Vreelandella stevensii. Its description in RNAcentral is "partial 16S ribosomal RNA". It matches the Rfam family "Bacterial small subunit ribosomal RNA", at positions 338 to 795 of the family's 1533-position model. Lineage: Bacteria; Pseudomonadati; Pseudomonadota; Gammaproteobacteria; Oceanospirillales; Halomonadaceae. The record is from RNAcentral.
CCUACGGGGGGCAGCAGUGGGGAAUAUUGGACAAUGGGCGAAAGCCUGAUCCAGCCAUGCCGCGUGUGUGAAGAAGGCCUUCGGGUUGUAAAGCACUUUCAGUGGGGAAGAAAGCCUUGGGGCUAAUACCCUCGAGGAAGGACAUCACCCACAGAAGAAGCACCGGCUAACUCCGUGCCAGCAGCCGCGGUAAUACGGAGGGUGCGAGCGUUAAUCGGAAUUACUGGGCGUAAAGCGCGCGUAGGUGGUCUGAUAAGCCGGUUGUGAAAGCCCCGGGCUCAACCUGGGAACGGCAUCCGGAACUGUCAGGCUAGAGUGCAGGAGAGGAAGGUAGAAUUCCCGGUGUAGCGGUGAAAUGCGUAGAGAUCGGGAGGAAUACCAGUGGCGAAGGCGGCCUUCUGGACUGACACUGACGCUGAGGUGCGAAAGCGUGGGUAGCAAACAGGAUUAGAUACCCCGGUAGUC